Molecule: long non-coding RNA, 1610 nt
Organism: Chinchilla lanigera (long-tailed chinchilla)
Lineage: Eukaryota; Metazoa; Chordata; Mammalia; Rodentia; Chinchillidae
Source: Ensembl
GCAGGAGUAAGGAAGUUCUUUCCCCAAAUUGCCAGGCCAGGGUGGCCAGAGCACAUCGACUAUAUUCAUGAUGGGCCGGGGAGUGGCGUGUGGCGAGCAGACACUCAGUAUCUGGCUUCAUCUGUGACACGCAGUGUUUGAGGUGAACAAGUGCAGCUAGCAGGCUGCGGCGGGGGGGGGGGCAAGGGGUGUGGCAGUCUGGGGUGCAGUCUGCAGAUGCUAGACGGAGCUGGCAUCCUCCUGGCCAGGGCUUUUGGUGUUCCACGCAAGGUCAGCAAUUGACAGUUCAGCUAUGGAGUAAGGAUGAAUCUUGUCAACAAUGAAUCCAAAGAACUGGCUUUGCUGCAUUUGGAGUUGUACACUACAUGCUUUUGUACUUGAGAAGCUGAAAAUCUACUUUGAAAGUGAAGAUACAGAUGCCCAAGUGUGCUAUGUCUGGAGCGUCAGAAGCCCGAGAGCGGAUCAUCCAAACCAGACACCGAUGUGUCUCUUCACAGCGUCCUUGGGAGGCUUGGUGAAUGAAGUCCCAAUAUUCUAUGACUUGAGUUUUAGUGCUUACCUUGUAUGAAUGCCUUAACUUGCAGGAGAAAAGUGAAAAAUAGGACAAUAUCCCUCAAACAUGUACACUCAGCCUCAUUCCCACCACCCAGCUUUAGUGUAAUUCUCAGCCCCUUUGUCCCAUCACACCCUCUACUUCUUUCAUGUCUGUUUUCUCCCUGCCUUCGGUCUAACCAGUGUCCUAAACCCUGCUAUUGUUUUGCUUGAAAAACUCUGAACAAAACCCCUUGAAGGAACAAUGGACUUCAGGGCUGGGGUGGAGAAAAUUCAGGAUGUGGCUUGAUCACCUUUUGAUACCAGAAAGAAAGAAAUUGAUCAAAAAACUAUAGAAGUGUAUCAGAAGAGCAUGGAAGUCAAUGUGAAGAGGUUUCAAUAGGCAAGAUAGGGGCUGGGGAUAUAGCUCAGUGGCACAGCACCUGCCUGGCAAGCCCAAGGUCCUGAGUUUGAUUUCCUGCACACACAAAAAAUGUAGGAGCAGAAAGUGGGCUUGGAGUUACAUAAUAUAUAGUGAGAGUGUCAUGUCAUAAAAAUAAGUAGGUAUCCAUAUCAUGUCCAUAUUGAUCUAAAUAAAUGAUUGAGUAGGUUCUGUUGGGGUUCCUGGCUCUGCAUCCUUUGUACAUACUGCGCUUCUUGUCCUGCUUUCUUAGUGAGUAUUUAUGUGCUUUUGAAGACCAAGCAAGGAGAAGGAUUCCUCUUCUGGAAAGAAUUUCUGGAGUUUUUGAGCACAGUUGGUCUCCUCUUUCUGUCCCCCAUCUCCUGUGUUAUGUGUGCAUUUCUUUUCUGGUUCUCCCUGCACUAUAUUGGAAGGGGUUGGUUAGUCUGUGUCCUUCCACAACCUGUGCAUAUCUGGAGAGAAGCUACCAUGUCUUGGUUAUCCUGCAUCCCUGCAUAUGUCACAGGGCCUGAAAUAGUAGUAUUGUGCACCCCAAAGGCAAAUGUCCUUAUGUUUUGUUCCUAUCUCUAUUCCAGAGUUUAAUAUAGUGCUUGGCAUGGUUUAGAUCAAGACAACAUGUAAUAUGCUUAAUAAACAUUUGUUAUUUGUAAAAAUGAAU